RNAcentral lists this long non-coding RNA (306 nucleotides) under Lupinus mutabilis. RNAcentral describes it as "partial ncRNA". The record is from RNAcentral. Lineage: Eukaryota; Viridiplantae; Streptophyta; Magnoliopsida; Fabales; Fabaceae.
GCCAAGGUGUUCUUGGGAUAGCUGUUGAGGUUGAUCUUCAUGUUGUGUACGUGCACCUUCAUGUGGUGUUUGGUCACGCUUUUCUCGGGGUAAUUGUUGAGCACCAUAUGUUCUUGGUAGCAGGUAUGGUUGAUCUUCAUGUUGUUUGCGUGCACCUUCACGAGGUAUUUGGCCACGCUUUUCUCGGGAUGAUGCUUGUGAAAUAGGCGGCUGCUGAUUAUCAGCAUGCUGCCGAGGUUGCAAAGGAAAAUGAGGGUGGUAAGGUUGAUCUUCUUGAUGUAUAGGUAGCGGACCACCAAGUGGAAG